CUCCUCUCAGGGUCACAACUUGAGAGAUUCCAGUAAUCUACGAGUCUCGGCUAUGGGAGGGAGAGUCAAGCAGAGGCCUGCCCAUUCCAUUCCUAGCUUGGGCAGUGGCUAGUGAGUGGAAGGCAAUCUGCUACAAGC
Molecule: small nucleolar RNA, 138 nt
Organism: Tachyglossus aculeatus (Australian echidna)
Lineage: Eukaryota; Metazoa; Chordata; Mammalia; Monotremata; Tachyglossidae
Source: RefSeq, a predicted model, not a curated record